UGGAUACACACACACACACAAACACACUGAACACACACACACUGACACACAUAAACACUGAAACACACAAUUGACAAACACACACUGGACACUCACACGUGUUAAAUCAGUUUCUGGACCACAGGUUCUAGAACAGCUUCUAUCCCAGUUCUAUCUGCCUGUUAAAUCAGUUUCUGGACCACAGGUUCUAGAACAGCUUCUAUCCCAGUUCUAUCUGCCUGUUAAAUCAGUUUCUGGACCACAGGUUCUAGAACAGCUUCUAUCCCAGUUCUACCUGCCUGUUAAAUCAGUUUCUGGACCACAGGUUCUAGAACAGCUUCUAUCCCAGUUCUAUCUGCCUGUUAAAUCAGUUUCUGGACCACAGGUUCUAGAACAGCUUCUAUCCCAGUUCUAUCUGCCUGUUAAAUCAGUUUCUGGACCACAGGUUCUAGAACAGCUUCUAUCCCAGUUCUAUCUGCCUGUUAAAUCAGUUUCUGGACCACAGGUUCUAGAACAGCUUCUAUCCCAGUUCUAUCUGCCUGUUAAAUCAGUUUCUGGACCACAGGUUCUAGAACAGCUUCUAUCCCAGUUCUAUCUGCCUGUUAAAUCAGUUUCUGGAUCACAGGUUCUAGAACAGCUUCUAUCCCAGUUCUAUCUGCCUGUUAAAUCAGUUUCUGGACCACAGGUUCUAGAACAGCUUCUAUCCCAGUUCUAUCUGCCUGUUAAAUCAGUUUCUGGACCACAGGUUCUAGAACAGCUUCUAUCCCAGUUCUAUCUGCCUGUUAAAUCAGUUUCUGGACCACAGGUUCUAGAACAGCUUCUAUCCCAGUUCUAUCUGCCUGUUAAAUCAGUUUCUGGACCACAGGUUCUAGAACAGCUUCUAUCCCAGUUCUAUCUGUCUGUUAAAUCAGUUUCUGGACCACAGGUUCUAGAACAGCUUCUAUCCCAGUUCUAUCUGCCUGUUAAAUCAGUUUCUGGACCACAGGUUCUAGAACAGCUUCUAUCCCAGUUCUAUCUGCCUGUUAAAUCAUCAACCUAAACUGUUGUCAUCAGACUAUUACAACAUGACUGAACUUUUGGUUCCUUUUCUGAUCUUUUAC
Molecule: long non-coding RNA, 1079 nt
Filed under: Salmo salar (Atlantic salmon)
Lineage: Eukaryota; Metazoa; Chordata; Actinopteri; Salmoniformes; Salmonidae
Description: lncRNA (ENSSSAG00000097100.1)
Source: RNAcentral